RNAcentral lists this ribosomal RNA (497 nucleotides) under uncultured bacterium. Its description in RNAcentral is "partial 16S ribosomal RNA". It matches the Rfam family "Bacterial small subunit ribosomal RNA", at positions 28 to 507 of the family's 1533-position model. The record is from RNAcentral.
GAUGAACGCUGGCGGCGUGCCUAAUACAUGCAAGUCGAGCGAACAGACUCUGAUCUUGCUCCUCUAACAAUUUCGCGGCGCACGUGUGUAUCACAUGUAUAACCCCUCUCUCAUACUCGGGUAACAUCAUGGGACAGGAUAUCUUACCGGAGAAUAUAUUGAAUCUCGUGUGUCAAUAGUGUAAGAGGUUUUUGCUGUAACAUAUAGAUAUGUCUGCGCUGCAUUAGCUAGUUGGUAAGGUAAAGGCUUACCAAGGCGACGAUGCGUAGCCGACCUGAGAGGGUGAUCGGCCACACUGGAACUGAGACACGGUCCAGACUCCUACGGGAGGCAGCAGUAGGGAAUCUUCCGCAAUGGGCGAAAGCCUGACGGAGCAACGCCGCGUGAGUGAUGAAGGUCUUCGGAUCGUAAAACUCUGUUAUUAGGGAAGAACAAAUGUGUAAGAAACAUUGAUCGUCUUGACGGUACCUAAUCAGAAAGCCACGGCUAACUACGUG